RNAcentral lists this long non-coding RNA (274 nucleotides) under Nicotiana benthamiana. RNAcentral's name for it is "long non-coding RNA (NBEN_LNC025001)". Lineage: Eukaryota; Viridiplantae; Streptophyta; Magnoliopsida; Solanales; Solanaceae. The record is from RNAcentral.
UCUGACUACAAAGCCUGUAGCUAUGUGGUGGUAGGAGUGAAUAAUGCGUCAUUGCUCUAUGUUGAGAUGAGAGAAGCUAUAUGAUUUAGCUUUGUAUAGGCUUGUACAUUUUUGUGUAUACUCAGUGUAUAUUUUUGGUAUAUCCAUGAUAUAUCUUGUAAUUGGGUUGUAACUGGGCUGUGAUGAUUUUGUGUCUGAGCCCACAUGUCAUUAUUUAAUUUUGGGCCGGAUCACCCGACCCGACUCGUCCGUGUGUAACAUGUAUAUAUGUAGG